This 72-nucleotide microRNA precursor is filed under the name Dipodomys ordii (Ord's kangaroo rat). RNAcentral describes it as "miRNA (ENSDORG00000029388.1)". The record is from RNAcentral. Lineage: Eukaryota; Metazoa; Chordata; Mammalia; Rodentia; Heteromyidae.
CUAUUCAGGAAGGCUGGGUGCAGUGGUACAUGCCUGUAAUCCCAGCUAGCCAGGAGGCAGAGGGAGGAGGAU